GAUGAACGCUGGCGGCGUGCCUAAUACAUGCAAGUCGAGCGAACAGACGAGGAGCUUGCUCCUCUGACGUUAGCGGCGGACGGGUGAGUAACACGUGGAUAACCUACCUAUAAGACUGGGAUAACUUCGGGAAACCGGAGCUAAUACCGGAUAACAUGUUGAACCGCAUGGUUCAACAGUGAAAGACGGUCUUGCUGUCACUUAUAGAUGGAUCCGCGCCGCAUUAGCUAGUUGGUAAGGUAACGGCUUACCAAGGCAACGAUGCGUAGCCGACCUGAGAGGGUGAUCGGCCACACUGGAACGGAGACACGGUCCAGACUCCUACGGGAGUCAGCAGUAGGGAAUCUUCCGCAAUGGGCGAAAGCCUGACGGAGCAACGCCGCGUGAGUGAAGAAGGUCUUCGGAUCGUAAAACUCUGUUAUUAGGGAAGAACAAAUGUGUAAGUAACUAUGCACGUCUUGACGGUACCUAAUCAGAAAGCCACGGCUAACUACGUGCCAGCAGCCGCCGUAA
This 513-nucleotide ribosomal RNA is filed under the name uncultured bacterium. RNAcentral describes it as "partial 16S ribosomal RNA". It matches the Rfam family "Bacterial small subunit ribosomal RNA", at positions 28 to 523 of the family's 1533-position model. The record is from RNAcentral.